Molecule: RNA transcript, 6755 nt
Organism: Capsicum annuum
Lineage: Eukaryota; Viridiplantae; Streptophyta; Magnoliopsida; Solanales; Solanaceae
Gene name: DEAD-box ATP-dependent RNA helicase 58, chloroplastic
Exons: 12
Source: RefSeq, a predicted model, not a curated record
CCCACCACUUUAUUUCUUUAGCUUAAUAGUAUUGUGGGAUCAAAACCAGCAUCAACUAGAAGAGCGACGUGGUUCCUUUUGUCUCAUCAUUUUACUCAUGGCAUGUUUCUCUGCAACUCAACUACAUGCUCUUUCAUGGACUUCAUCCUUAAACCCUAACUUUUCCUUUCUUGCUCCCAAACUUUUCUACUAUCCAAAACCUUUAAGAGCUUCAUUCACCUCAUCUAAUGUCGAACCUACUACUGAAACGAAGGUUUCAUCAACUGCAAAGCUUCGGGAACUGUGCCGUGGUCACGUGCCCGACCACGUGAUUCGCCGGGCGGAAGAGGUUGGAUAUGUGAUACCUACAGAAGUGCAGCGACUGGCAUUGCCUUUCCUCUUUUCAGGACGUGAUUGUGUGCUUCAUGCGCAGACAGGUUCUGGAAAAACCUUGGCAUACCUGCUCCAGGUAUUGUCAGCCGUUGACAGUCAAAGGGCAGCAGUUCAAGCAUUGAUCGUGGUGCCUACUAGAGAGCUUGGUAUGCAAGUCACAAAAGUUGCUCGAAUGCUUGCUGCAAAUCCUUCAGAAUGUGACUCAGGACUGAAAUUAUGCACUGUUAUGGGUCUUCUAGAUGGGGGCAUGUUGAAACGACACAAGAGUUGGUUAAAGGCUGAGCCACCCACCAUUGUUGUUGCAACUAUAGGAAGUUUGUCUCAAAUGCUUGAGAAACAUAUUUUGAAGCUAGAUUCCUGCCAAGUACUUGUUGUUGAUGAGGUUGAUUUCAUGUUCAAUUCUUCGAAAGAAGUCAGUUCUCUUAAAAGGCUGUUGACAUCCUACUCAUCCAGCAAGAACCGUCAAACUAUCUUUGCUAGUGCUUCAAUUCCCCAGCACAGAAGAUUUUUGUAUGACUGUAUGCAGCAAAAAUGGACCAGGGCUGAUGUAGUUCAUGUCCAUGUGAAUUCAGUAGAGCCGAUGCCCUCAUGCCUCCAUCAUAGAUUUGUGGUAUGCAACAAAAGGGAAAAGAAUCCAAUGUUACUCUCAUUACUGCAGAGAGAUUCACCUGAAUCUGCCAUAAUUUUUGUCAGCGAGCAAUCUGAGAAGUCAAAAAAGGAAGGAACAGCACCUCCAACUACUCUUUUGGUAGAUUUUCUAAGGUCCUCUUAUGGGAGAUUUUCUGACGUCUCUCUUCUAGAGGAAGAUAUGAAUUUCAAUCGACGAGCAGCAUCGUUAUCUGAGCUUCGAGGAGGAGGAGGUUAUUUAUUGGUGGCAACAGAUAUUGCAGCUAGAGGGGUUGAUCUACCAGAUACGACACAUAUAUACAAUUUUGAUAGCCCAAAAAAUGCAGUAAAUUAUCUUCAUCGAGCUGGAAGAACUGGUAGAAAACCAUUUUCAGAUAAAACAUGUUUCGUCACCAGCAUUAUAACAGUGGAAGAGCGGUUUGUGUUGCAGAGAUUCGAAAAUGAGUUAAUGUUUUGUUGUGAACAAUUAUUCAUUUAACUGUGCAUAGAGUUCUUCUCCCUAAUCGUUGGCCUCAAAAGUUUACCGUUGCCUCUCUAGGAAAAGAUAAAUAACCGGCGGCUGAUGCACCAAGGGUGUGGCCUAGUGGUUCAAUAAAGUAGGGUUGAGCACCAUGAGGUCUCAGGUUCAAUUCCUAAUACAGAUAAAUGCUAGGUGAUUUUUUCCCACCUGUUCUAGACUUGGUGGAUAGAGUCACCUGGUAUCUGUUGGUAUCUGUUGCUGGUGGGAGGUGGCAGGUAUUCUGUGAAAUGAGACGAGGUGCAGCAAGCUUGCUCAGACACCACCACCACAACAACAUACCCAGUGUGUUCUCACAAAGUGAGGUCUGGGAAGGCUAAAAUCAUUAUUCCCACAAAGUGUACGCAGUUCAUAUCACUACCUCAGAUGAAGUAGAGGAUGUUUUCGAUAGACUUUCGGCUUAGGACAUAUAACAAUAUAACAAAUCAAGCACAAAUUCAAACAAAACAUUCUUCCCUACUAUAAUGGUCCGAACAUCACGAUUAUUAAAAAGAAAAAAAUAAUAAGAAUUAAACAACAGAUACUACCACUUAGGUGUGUAUGGUAUUAUGGAAAAAAAAUUCAAAUUUCCCUAGUUUCCUUGGUUAAAACGUUCAGGAAAAUAGCACCCAACGGGGUGUGUAGUAGCCAAUGAAGUGGGUUGAGAACUCGAGAUUUCAGUUCAAACUCUAGCAGAGAUUAAAAAACGCUAGGUGAUUCUUCUCAUAUGUCUUAGUUUUAGUGGACAAAAUUAUUAAAAAAAAAGUAAUAAUAAUUAAACAACAGAUACUACCACUUAGGUGUAUGGUAUUGCGGAAAAAAUUCAGUGUAUCGUAUUAUGGAAAAAUAUUUCAAAUUUCCCUAGUUUUCUUUAGUUGAAAUGUUCUGGAAAAUAGCACCCACGGGUGUGGUCUAGUGGUCAAUGAAGUGGGUUGAGAAUCUAAGGUCUUGUUUCAAAUACUAGUAGAGAUAAAAAAACAGUAGAGAUAAAAAACACUGUGAUUUUCCUCAUAUGUUCUAGCCUUAGGCCUCAUUUUUUACACUUAAUGGAGGUCUGAAUCUGAAUGGUUCAGACUUUAGACCAUUAAGUGGAUUUGUUUUUUAUUAAGACUUUAGGUCUGAAUAGGUCUUAAUCAUUCAGAUCUAGAACCAAGUCUUAAUAGGUCUGAAGAGAUAUUCUGGUGUUGAAUAAUAUUCACCACUCUAUUCAUAAUCAUCAGUCACUACCAGUAAUCACCUCUGCCACCGCCAUCAUUGUCAACCACCUCCACCAUCACAACCACCAUCGACAAUAAAUAUUGCCAUCAACCACUAUUGUCAACCAUUACCACACCUACUAACUCUAUUAUUCUAAUUAUAUUCACCGCCAUUACCACUGUCAACACUACCACCAUCAACCACUACCGGCCAAUCCCUACUACCGACUAACUCAUCUAUCGCAACUAGCACCACCACUAACUACCACUAAUGCAUCACAACCUCCACACAUUCUUUGGCCAUCAUUACCACUGUCACUAGUAACACCACAUCUACCACUACUUCAACCACUACCAUCGCUACAAUUUAUCUCCAUUAACAAUCUCUCCACCAUCACAACAAACAACAUUUCCAACUACCAACUAGCACCAACAGAUCGUCAACCAUCAUGCAUUCAUGUUUCAGCCAACACAAUUAACACCUCAAACUACUAACAUCAAUGUCACAUCACAACCACCACCACCAUCAUAACAAUCACUAUAAUAUCAACCAUCAAAACUAUUUCCACUAACAUUAUUAAUCACUAACAUCAAUCAUUGUCACCGCAAUCACCAUUAUAAACCAUCUCCACUAUUACUAGCAAACAAAUAUUUUUUCUCAAUCAAAUAAUAAUUUUGUUGCAUUAAAUUACAUAUUUUUUAAUACAUAAUUAAUUUUUUAUUUAAAUUAUAUUUUUUAUUUUAUUAUAUAUACAAAUAAAAAAAUUUUGCACAUUCAGAUGUUGAAAAACAAACAGUCUUAAUCAUUCAGUUUUCAGAUCUAGAGACAUCUUAAUCAUUCAGAUGUACAUUACAUUCAGAUUCAGACGUCUGAAUCUUAAAAAAAACAAAUGCAGCCUUAAUGGAUAGAGUUAUUUGAUAUCUGUUGUUGGUGGAAGGUGAAUGGUAUUCCAUAGAUUUAGUCGAGGUGAGCAAAAGUUGAUUCGGACACUACAAUUAUUUUAAAAAAAAUUGUUUUGGAAAAUGUUCUCUCGGAAAACAUGUUUAUAAAAAUUAGAAAAAGGACUUCUUUAAGGGGAAUUGGAAAAAUAAGUUUCGUAAAUGGCAUUCUAAGUUCAUUGUCUCCUCCCCAUCCACGACGCCCCACUCCUCAUAGUGUUUUUUUUAGAUUACAUGUAAAUAUUUUAGGGACAAUACUUUUUUUUGCUGCCUACCAAACACCAGAAAGAAGUAGCCGUUUGGCCAUGAAAAGUUUACUUUUUUUUUCAAAAAAUUAUUUCACUUUAGUGAAAUAAGUGAAAACAACAUGUGUUUGGCCAUGAGAAUUUCAAUACAAUUUUGGAAUUGUAUUUGGAAAAGUGAAAACAAGUUUUUUUUCACUCAUACUUCUCUCACAAAAUUUCAAAAAUAACUUAGUUUUAUAUUCAUGGUCAAACACAAUUCCAAUUUCAACUCUAACUCCAACUCCGAAAAAUUAUGAUUUUCAUGACCAAAUGGAGUCUAAAUAAGAACCAUUUAUUUUCCAAUAGUAACAUUUUCACAUUUUUUAGAUGUUACAUGGAGCAGUUACAGCUUUCUGAGGACAUGACCCUUGAUAAGAAAGUAUGGAGGAAAAGCAUUAGGGUAGAGGGCUAAGGUGGGGGUGGUUGAGUCGUAGUCUGUAGUUAGGAGGGUUUGGUGUAGCUUGGUUGGUAGGUCUAGGGGGUGGGGGAGGGGGGUCCAUUGUCUGUUUGUGUACUUUAUUGUUUUGUUAUUUUAUUCCUGUUGCACGCUUUUGACGUUUUUGUCCUUUGUCCUUUUGUCUUGAGCCGGAGGUCUAUCAGAAACAGCCUUUCUAUUUCCCCGGAGGUAGUGGUAUGGACUGCGUACAUUUCACCCUCCCCAGACCCCACUAGGUGGGAAUAUACUGGGUUUGCUGUUGCUGUUGUUCUCACAUUUUCCUUUGUACUAUAUACACCCUUAAUUUGGCUCAGCAUAUUACAUCAGAAAGUAUUUUAGUCCUUUGGUUCUUAUAAGUUCUAACGGCUGUGUAAUUUUCAGUUUUAAGCAAGACAUUUUGCUGAACAAAUUGGUAAAAAUAUUAAAAUUGAAUGGUUCUCUUGAAGUGCUCUUUCAAGAAAUUUAACCUUAUGUUCCUUUCUUUACUAAAUUGUUAACUACCACCUCAAAUUCCCAAAGAAGAUCCGGUGGAGCAGUGUUAAUGAGGAUGCAGUAUACGUGCUUUCCCGAAAAAGAAAAAGGAAUCCAGUACACAGGAGAAAACGGAGGAAAUAGUUGAAUAAUGAAGUAAUGUAGUGAAAGGCUGUACAGGUUUUGAUGCACGUACCUGCAAAUUGAUGUAUCAGCGGAAAAUAACAUCAUAUGCAGUUUUGGUAGACUAACCUUCAAGUGAACAUUGGUGCCUAUACGGGAUCGGAUGCCGACAACACUGUGCUCCACGAAACAAUUGGUCAAGAAACUACCAUGUGAUACAAUUGAAUCAACAAUCUGGCAACAACUAGAUUUGGUUAGCAGAAGAAAAUUUAGAGAUGUAUGUGUUUAAGAUUGAAGAAGUGGGUUUGUGCUUUAAACCUUGCUAUUAUCAAUCGCUGAUGGAGGUAAGUUUCUCCUUGAUGUGUAUAUUGGCUUUGUUGCAUCAUAGAAACUAAAUCUUGGUGGCUGAAAUGAAAAAAGCAACAUUAGUUGGCCAUAUUAUUAGUACGAACAAUCUUUUUAAUGUUGUCAAGUAAGAUUGACAGGUGUUCAAUAGCCAGAUUCCAUCUUACUUGGGUUGUUUGAAGAAACAAAACCCCUUAAAAGACUGAAAAAACAUAUAAUAUAGCUGUCUGAUUCUUACAUGUUCAGUGAGUGCAAGGUUUGAUUCAAAAAAGGAUCUGAUUGUACCAAUAUCUUCCCAGUAAUCAUUGAAUAAGUAAGCCUGCAAAAUCAGGGCAAAAUGCGCCUUAGUCACUGUACAGGUUGUAGUUAAGUUGCUUAGGAAACCAUAACAGAAAUAGUGAAUUGAAUUUUUUGGGACAAUGAAGACAUGCAGGGGUGAGGGUGGGAAAUAAGAUAAACAGGGGGAGAGGAAUUGUGGGCCCGUGAACUGCAAUAUAAUACCAAAUGCGCAUAGAAUAUCUUAGAUGCCUUGUGAUGAUGAAACAACAAUAUUGUGUAGUAGUGAACGUUUUGAGCCAACAGAUCGAGGUCUUGCAUAAAUGCCAACCAGAAAGUAAGUGGUACCCACCUUGAUACAGAAUUCUUUGGCAGAGGCAGGGAUAAUCUCUGAACCAAAGUCAUUUGCCGUCGGAAAACGCCAUCUAAAAAGACAAAGAGUUAGCAGUUCACGAUCUUCUUUUACCUGAUCUCUUCAGCAUGCAAAAGUAUGAAGGAACUCAGGGUUAACAUAGAUUUUAUGCGGUCUCUUUCUACUUUAUAAUAACCACCAAAAUGAGUGUGGCUACCCCUGUUAGAUGGAUGCAUAUAGUUUCUUCACUUUUUUGUCCUCUUUCUCCAAGUUUCUUUCAUUUGCAUGUUGGCAGGACAAUGACGCCCUCUAAAGUAAGGUACUAUAGAAGAAACUCGUUACAUACCUUAAGAGAUUCAGGAGGAUAUCCUUCUUGAAGACGUAAACUCCCAUUGAAGCAAUGUAAGGUUUCUGUUUAGCCUCUUCUGGGGAUAAUCCCAGAACAGAUGUGUCUACUGCCUGAAGUGCUUGUUGUCAAGUGAUUGCAGCAACUUUAUAAUUUAAAAGUAGAUUAAGCUCUGAGACUGUCAAAUUUUCAAGAAUUACCAUCGCCUUCAAAUCAUCUCCUUUUGGCUUUUCGCUGAAGGACAGGACCCGUCCUGAGUCAUCAAUUUUCAUCAAGCCAAAAUCUGAAGCGCGUCUAUCAUGAAAACAUAGAAGUGAUUCAAUAGAAGACAUUAUUUCUUGUAGUGAUUUUCAAAGCAGUCUUUGAGAAAGUAUGAUUUCGUUGAGGGGAAGAAUAGUCUAUCUAGUAUCUAGAUUGUCCCUCCUAAUGCUACCUGCCAUCUAUUGGCAAGCUUGAUAUGGUAAUGUCUGCACCACUUUGCCGAUGGCUCUG